AGUGGAAUUGCUGGGUUGUAUGGUAAUUCUACGUUUAACCUUUUGAAGAACUGCCAGACUAUCUUCCAAAAUGACUGCACCGUCGUGUAUCUCCACCAAGCAGU
Molecule: microRNA precursor, 104 nt
Filed under: Marmota monax (woodchuck)
Lineage: Eukaryota; Metazoa; Chordata; Mammalia; Rodentia; Sciuridae
Source: RNAcentral